RNAcentral lists this long non-coding RNA (642 nucleotides) under Erythranthe guttata (spotted monkey flower). RNAcentral's name for it is "long non-coding RNA (EGUT_LNC000052)". The record is from RNAcentral. Lineage: Eukaryota; Viridiplantae; Streptophyta; Magnoliopsida; Lamiales; Phrymaceae.
UAGGCUAUGAUUGGUUUGUAGAAAAUGGUAGGUAAAAUUGUGAAAAGUCAAAGUAAUCUACUUUUCUUGUUUGGUUAAAAUGUAAAAUACUGGGUAAAGUAAUUUGUAGAAAAAGGGGAAAACUUUUUUAACCUAAAAUAGGGAAAAUGCAUUUUCCCCCAAAAUAAUGAGGAAAACUAGGAAAAGAGAUCGGGUGUUCUCCACAUCCACACAAUUUCUUCAAUUCGUCACUGUCAUUCCCACCGACCGCCGACCGUCGUCGACCUCACCUGCCUCCGCCGUCGGCUCCACCUCCACCACCACCACCACCGGACCCUCAACGCCGUCAACCGCCACAACCAACAUCCUCUCUCUGUAUUCACUCUCAAAUGGACCACGGCCACCAGCAACCUCUUCGCCGCCGCCGGAAACCUUCGCUCCGCCACUGUACCUCUCAAUCUUCCAUCUGAUCCAGGAAUUUUCCGGCGUUGAUGGGAACAGCCGGUCGAUUAUUGGAUGAUAACGCCGUAUACCUAAUUUUUUUUCUUUAUUUGGAUUACUAGGCUAGGGUGGUGGAGGUGGGGGCGUGAGUGGUGCUGGUGGUGGUGAGAGUUGGGGCCGUGAGUGGUGGUGGUGGGGGUUGGUUUGCGGGGUGCCUUGGUG